This 390-nucleotide ribosomal RNA is filed under the name uncultured bacterium. RNAcentral's name for it is "bacterial SSU rRNA". It matches the Rfam family "Bacterial small subunit ribosomal RNA", at positions 97 to 520 of the family's 1533-position model. The record is from RNAcentral.
GGCGGACGGGUGCGUAACACGUGGGAAUAUACCUUUUGGUUCGGAACAACGCAGGGAAACUUGCGCUAAUACCGAAUGUGCCCUUACGGGGAAAGAUUUAUCGCCAAAGGAUUAGCCCGCGUAGGAUUAGCUAGUUGGUGAGGUAAUGGCUCACCAAGGCUCCGAUCCUUAGCUGUUCUGAGAGGAAGAUCAGCCACACUGGGACUGAGACACGGGCCCAGACUCAUACGGGAGGCAGCAGUUGGGAAUCUUGGACAAUGGGGGAAACCCUGAUCCAAGCCAUGCCGCGUGAGUGAUGAAGGCCUUCGGGUUGUAAAACUCUUUCGACGGGGACGAUAAUGACGGUACCCGUAGAAGAAGCUCCGGCUAACUUCGUGCCAGCCGCCGCGG